This 1103-nucleotide long non-coding RNA is filed under the name Felis catus (domestic cat). RNAcentral's name for it is "lncRNA (ENSFCAG00000052837.1)". The record is from RNAcentral. Lineage: Eukaryota; Metazoa; Chordata; Mammalia; Carnivora; Felidae.
UUGACCCCAAAGACCAUGGUGCUAAUCAGACUGUGCUCCUUAGGGUGGGGAAGGUGAAAGAAUUCUUUUGGGAGAAAGACACCAAGUGAGGCAGUCCUCAAGGCUAACACACAAAAUGACCAGGACGGUAUUUACCUGCCCUGCCCUUGCAAAGAAGCGUGUCCAGGAGCUGUUGUGUGUUCCCUCCUUGUUCCCCAUUAGCCAAUGUCAUCUGGGGAUUCCUGCAUCCUGAGCAGCACCACAGGCAGGCAGGCAGCGAAGGAGAUGCACUGCCCACCUUCCAGCAACUUGCCACCGGAUAUUUGCACGGCAUCCCCGCCUCUUCUUCACUCAGAAAUCACCAAGACUGAGAUAACUCAGCCCUUUAUCUUUCUACUUCAAUCAAACUGCGGUCUGAUAUACAUUUAACCCAAAGAGUCCAUAUGGUGACUGGGACCAGAGUAAAUGAACUCCAUGUGUGCUUGUGCUUCGCUUUUUCUCCCCACUCAUGCCAGCUUCCUAACAAAAUGCAGCUUAUAAAAUUGCUUAUUUGUACCAUGCACCAGUUUUCCCAUUAAUAAUCAGUAAUAUUAGUAUACCGUCUACCCUAGUGGCUCUCCAUCCCUCAGGAACAGUCUGGCCAGAAAUCUAAAAGCAUGCACUGCAGUCUGUGAAAUUCUUACUCGGCUGUUAUUUUGGAGCUCUUGGAAGCAGCGUGCUCAGAUGGCUGACAGCGUCAGAAUGGGAAAUACCUGCUCCAGAGGGGGCCAGCCAAACAAUCUCGGUUGGUUUUAUUGCUGCCAUAUCCAGGAAUCAGGUGCUUGGAAAAAAUAUGCUGACAGGACCAGACUGAGGAAACUGUGAUGCCAUCUGGGGUCAGGAAGAGAUUUUUGUCCAAAUGCCAACUGCGGGGGCUGAGGCAGUGUGGUGCUCUGCUGGCAUGAGUCUGGAAUAACCCAGGAGGUACUGAGGAAAGCAAGGAGAAAAGCAUCCCAGAAUGUCAUCAGGGAGAAUUGGGGACUUUGGUAAAGAUGAGGAAGACCCUGAGGUUUGAACCUUCUGCACGAGACAUUCUGGAAAAUGUUUUAUUUUGGGAAAUUUCAAACAUAUGCAAAAGUAGUGAC